AUGAUUUAUUACUUCUCUGCAAAAUAUUUUCCUGCUCACAAAAAGCAAGCUGCCUUACAGGAAAUAUUUAACUUUAUUCAAAUUAAAGAAGAGAGUCUCCCACAAGCUUGGGGGAGGCUUUGCCAGUUACAUAAUGCUUUGCUUAAUUAUCCUCUUAAGAAAAAUAAAAUACUUGAUAUCUUCUAUAAUGGACUAACCAAUACUUCUAGGGACUUCCUAGAUAGUUGUGCUGGUUGUGUUUUCAGGGAACGAACUGUUGGACAAGCUGAGGAACUAUUGAAUAACAUAUUGAAAAAUUAUGAUGAUUGGACUCUUCCUGAACCACCGCCUAAACCCACUCCGAAGAAGAGGGGUAUAUUAUAUCUCAGUCUUGAAGAUAUGCAAGAGGCAAAGAAAUCUAUGAAGAAAAAAGGUAUUAAAAUUGAGGAUGUUAAAAAUUUACCUCCUAUUGAAGAAAUACAUGGGAUUAAUACACCACCACAUCCUAAGUGUUGA
Molecule: ribosomal RNA, 495 nt
Filed under: Triticum aestivum (bread wheat)
Lineage: Eukaryota; Viridiplantae; Streptophyta; Magnoliopsida; Poales; Poaceae
Description: partial small subunit ribosomal RNA
Source: RNAcentral